Mus musculus (house mouse) is the source of this 2423-nucleotide long non-coding RNA. RefSeq annotates it as predicted gene, 44478. NCBI's taxonomy places the organism in Eukaryota, Metazoa, Chordata, Mammalia, Rodentia, Muridae. The transcript is spliced from 2 exons. The record is from RefSeq and is a predicted model, not a curated record.
UAGAGACCCAUUCCACCCAGACAAAGGGGUCUAGAGGGUCUGCGGCAAUCAGGCUUCUGGAUGCUACAGAAAACCGAGUCUUUUUUUCAAGUGUGCAAGACACUUAAGAUGUGGUCUUUGCUCUAAAACUCCCUCCUUGAGGGACCAGCAUUUCUCAAAUCUCAAUUACCUUUCCAGACUUGUUUGUUUGUUUGUUUGUUUAUUAACUUUCUACCGUUUUGUUUGGGGGUCUUUUUAGACAUUCUUAUUUAGGCCCUUAGCUCUCUAGGUACCUUUAAGACAUUUAUCACUAGAAACCAUUUCAUGUAACGUUUUGGCAAUGUCUGGCAGCAAAAGUUGUUUUUCUUCAGCUAAAAAAAAACAAAGAGGAAGUAACCCAUGGGGUGGAGGAAUUUGUCAGUCACAGUGACUGACUUUAGUAGGGCCUGUGUGCUUUACCAAAAAGAAAAUAUCUCAAGUUUUUGUUCCUUAUAGUUGUGGCCCUAAUUCUCUAGUUUUUUUUUUUUUUCCUAUGUAUUUUCUUACUUUAUCCUAGGCCAUUCUUCUAGGUGUUUGUUUGUUUGUUUGUUUUGUUUUGUUUUGUUUGAACCCAGAACAUUUAUUUUUUUAAUCUAGAACAACAUAGAUCUAUGUUAUCUUACUCUGUCCAAAACACUGGCCAGAUCCUUUCUCAUGACUUUGAACCUCUAUUUGUCUUUUUAAGUUAUAUUUUUAACCAUGAGAUCCAACUGAAGAUGUUGGUCCCGUCUAGUGACUGUUAGGUUGGCAUCAAAAUUUAAACAGAGGCGAACAGUCUUAAGCCAGUAGGUGACCUGGGAUGUUUUGUUUUAUUUUGUUUUUUAACUUUUAAUUGGGCUUUUCAGGCUUAGCUUUCUAUUUGAAGUGAAAACUAAAGAUGACAAAAUUACUAGAAUAAUGUUUAAAUGCCUCAAAUUACAGUGUUUCUUGUUUGAUAAAUACAGACACAAUGAAUUUGAGGUCAUUUAAGGAUAAACAUUUUGGUUUUAUCUAUGACAUUUGAAAUACAGCUGGUACCCAGAAUACCUGUUAUGCAAUGUCAUUUUCAACAGAGCAACUAAAUACCAAUGAUAGUAAACAAAACCUCAUCUAUAUUACCUUAAUUGGGGAAUAAAAUAUUUUUUAAAAGCUCUUAUUCAUGUCUUUAGUUAUUUAGCCCUUUAGCAUUGUUUCCCAUGCUUAGUUGAUACACUGUAUACAAGGGAGCAACACUGACUAGAGAGACAGGCAUAAACUGGGAGUCUCCCAGCCAACAGAGGGUUUUAUCAUUUAAAUAUUGAUACUGUAGGGUUAUAGACAUCAAAUGAAUCCACUGAGAACUGAGUGCCCGUCUGAACCUCUGCUCCUCAGUUACACCCUGUUGCCAUCCCUAGAGAAGGCCUUAGGGCAGAGAGACUUCAGGGGCAUCUGUAACUGGUAAACACAUGUAUUUGCUUUCUGUGUUUGAUGAAAGGCUUUCCUGAAGAGAUAUACUGGGGCUUCUGACCACUGGAUCAGCCUGCAGAGAGAGUCAUCAGAACACCCUUGGAGGUUUACAGACAACACUGAAUAUAACAGCUUGCAUGUUUCAGAUUGCCUUUCAUUCUGUUGUGUUCCUGUGUUGUGAUGUUUGUCAGUUGUGGCUAUGAGACAUGAAAGAUGGAGUAUGUGCAGCCAAGUAUAUUGGAAAACAAGAAAAAUAAGCCCUUAGGCUGGAUGACGUAUGGCCCUAGCAAACUCUAUAUGCCCUCAAAUCUAACCCCCUUCCCUUUGUAAGCUCCAAAUCCCCUCAGAUCUAAUUGCUUUUUCUGCCCUUCCAUUUACCAGCUGCAAUUGUAGAAACCCUUUCCUUGCUGUGAUUUCACUUAAAUCCUUAGUGUUGUGGUGGCCUCUGGGCUAGCUCUUGUCCUUUACCAACUAAAAUGAUUCCUUGCUAUAACCAUGCUAUGUAGCAUGUAGACAGAACUGCAUAUGGGCACUUGGGGUCCUAACACCCUCCAAAUGACUGCUCAGUGCAAGUGUGAGACUCAUCAGUCCACUCUUUGCCCAACUGCACCUGUUCACAUGCACAGGCUACAGGGCCCCUGGGAACUUCCUGUAAAUUCUCAUCAUCAGAAGUCAAGAGCUCCAGCUUGGAUGGGAAACAUUUCAGGCUGACCUGGACCUUGGAGCUUCACCUGCCACUGCUUCUCAAGAGUUUGGAUUACAGUCAUACUCCACCAUGUCUUUUUUAAUGAGAUACUGAGCUUCCAUAUGAAAAGGCAUGCCAUCAGGGAGACUGAAGAAGGUGACUAUCUCAAUAAUAAAGGAUUCAGAAGUGCCAGGAUCAACACAGAGAAGAAAUGGAUUUGUAGCAAGCGGUAUUUGCAGCCCUUGUUAAAUUACUUAGCUUGUUUUGAUUAUCAAAUUAAAUUUUUAUUUAAAAA